RNAcentral lists this ribosomal RNA (265 nucleotides) under uncultured archaeon. RNAcentral's name for it is "partial 16S ribosomal RNA". It matches the Rfam family "Archaeal small subunit ribosomal RNA", at positions 717 to 982 of the family's 1478-position model. The record is from RNAcentral.
ACACGACUACAUUAGAUACCCGCGUAGUCCUAGCCGUAAACGNUACUCGCUAGGUGUCGGCCACGGUGCGACCGUUGUCGGUGCCGUAGGGAAGCCGUGAAGCGAGCCACCUGGGAAGUACGGCCGCAAGGCUGAAACUUAAAGGAAUUGGCGGGGGAGCACCACAACGGGUGGAGCUUGCGGUUUAAUUGGAUUCAACGCCGGAAAUCUUACCGGGACCGACAGCAACAUGAAGGCCAGGCUGAAGACUUUGCCGGAUUAGCUG